GCCAGGUGUGGUGGCGGGCACCUGUAAUCCCAGCUACUCAGGAGGCUGAGGCAGGAGGAUCGCUUGAACCCAGGAGACAGAGGUUGCAGUGAGCCGAGAUCAUGCCAUUGCACUUCAGCCUGAGCAACAGAGUGAGACUCUGUCUCUA
This 148-nucleotide non-coding RNA is filed under the name Gorilla gorilla gorilla (western lowland gorilla). Lineage: Eukaryota; Metazoa; Chordata; Mammalia; Primates; Hominidae. The record is from Rfam by way of RNAcentral.